UGGGGAAUUUUGGACAAUGGGGGAAACCCUGAUCCAGCCAUCCCGCGUGUGCGAUGAAGGCCUUCGGGUUGUAAAGCACUUUUGGCAGGAAAGAAACGUCAUGGGUUAAUACCCCGUGAAACUGACGGUACCUGCAGAAUAAGCACCGGCUAACUACGUGCCAGCAGCCGCGGUAAUACGUAGGGUGCAAGCGUUAAUCGGAAUUACUGGGCGUAAAGCGUGCGCAGGCGGUUCGGAAAGAAAGAUGUGAAAUCCCAGAGCUCAACUUUGGAACUGCAUUUUUAACUACCGGGCUAGAGUGUGUCAGAGGGAGGUGGAAUUCCGCGUGUAGCAGCGAAAUGCGUAGAUAUGCGGAGGAACACCGAUGGCGAAGGCAGCCUCCUGGGAUAACACUGACGCUCAUGCACGAAAGCGUGGGGAGCGAACAGG
This 429-nucleotide ribosomal RNA is filed under the name Acidobacteriota bacterium. Its description in RNAcentral is "Acidobacteria bacterium partial 16S ribosomal RNA". It matches the Rfam family "Bacterial small subunit ribosomal RNA", at positions 355 to 776 of the family's 1533-position model. The record is from RNAcentral. Lineage: Bacteria; Pseudomonadati; Acidobacteriota.